Molecule: transfer RNA, 69 nt
Filed under: Bos taurus (domestic cattle)
Lineage: Eukaryota; Metazoa; Chordata; Mammalia; Artiodactyla; Bovidae
Also listed under: 6 other names
Rfam family: tRNA
About the family: Transfer RNA (tRNA) molecules are approximately 80 nucleotides in length.
Source: Rfam by way of RNAcentral
CCUGGUGGCUCAGAUGGUAAAGAAUCUGCCUGCAAAGCAGGAGACCAGGGUUCGAUCCCUGGGUCAGGA